RNAcentral lists this unclassified non-coding RNA (246 nucleotides) under Ramalinaceae sp. RNAcentral's name for it is "partial contains 5.8S ribosomal RNA, internal transcribed spacer 2, and large subunit ribosomal RNA". Lineage: Eukaryota; Fungi; Ascomycota; Lecanoromycetes; Lecanorales; Ramalinaceae. The record is from RNAcentral.
CGCACAUUGCGCCCCUCGGUAUUCCGGGGGGCAUACCUGUCCGAGCGUCAUUACACCUCUCAAGCUUCGCUUGGUAUUGGGCGUCGCUCUCUUAACAAAGGGCGUGCCUGAAAGUCAGUGGCGGUCCGAUGUGACUUGAGGCGUAGUAAAUUUCUCCCGUUCUGAAAGUUCGCGCUGUGUCCGGCCAAUAAACCCCCAAUCUCAACGAUUGACCUCGGAUCAGGUAGGGAUACCCGCUGAACUUAA